Molecule: long non-coding RNA, 535 nt
Organism: Cimex lectularius (bed bug)
Lineage: Eukaryota; Metazoa; Arthropoda; Insecta; Hemiptera; Cimicidae
Exons: 4
Source: RefSeq, a predicted model, not a curated record
CAGUAGUUAAUUUUAGUUUUUAUCAAUGACAUGUAAUUAUUUAUGAUGUAAAGGUGAUUGACCAGCUGUUAUUCAACAGUAUAUUUGGUGAUGAUUUACAAGAUGAAGAUGGACUGUUUUUUGAGCCUAGUGACUUCUUUGAACUACUGGAUGACCAAGGGGAAGAUGGAGAAGACGACGAUAAAACCCUGGAUGCAACCAUGGAACGUGCAGGAAUUGAUCGGGAAAAUGAUUAGGGAUCAUUUGAAAUACAUGCAAAGUGGGUAUAAAAAUUAAAAUUUAAAAUAGAAGGUUUUGACCAGAAAAUCAAAGAACCCGGAAGCUGUUAUCACACAUUUGACUGGAAAGAAUUUAACGUUGCCUGAUCCAGUGAGCGACCUAUUUUUGUGGAAUAUUAUAAACGAUAAUUUAGAACCACCUAAGAGAAAAAGAUUACACGAUGUCACUACUGUAAAUGAUGCAGUUCAUUUAAUUAACUUCUCAGAAUAAAUUAUAGUCAGAAUUCGCAUCCACAGUAACCAUUGCCUUAGCUAGG